Molecule: ribosomal RNA, 256 nt
Filed under: uncultured bacterium
Lineage: Bacteria
Description: partial 16S ribosomal RNA
Rfam family: Bacterial small subunit ribosomal RNA
Source: RNAcentral
UAAUACGUAGGGGGCAAGCGUUAUCCGGAAUUACUGGGUGUAAAGGGAGAGUAGGCGGUAUGGUAAGUUAGAUGUGAAAGCCCAAGGCUUAACCUCGGGAUUGCAUUUAAAACUAUCAAACUAGAGUACAGGAGAGGUAAGUGGAAUUCCUAGUGUAGCGGUGAAAUGCGUAGAUAUUAGGAAGAACACCAGUGGCGAAGGCGACUUACUGGACUGAAACUGACGCUGAGGCUCGAAAGCGUGGGGAGCGAACAGG